AGCGAACGCUGGCGGCAGGCCUAACACAUGCAAGUCGAACGAACCUUUCGGGGUUAGUGGCGGACGGGUGAGUAACACGUGGGAACGUGCCUUUAGGUUCGGAAUAACUCAGGGAAACUUGUGCUAAUACCGAAUGUGCCCUUCGGGGGAAAGAUUUAUCGCCUUUAGAGCGGCCCGCGUCUGAUUAGCUAGUUGGUUGAGGUAAUGGCUCACCAAGGCGACGAUCAGUAGCUGGUCUGAGAGGAUGAUCAGCCACAUUGGGACUGAGACACGGCCCAAACUCCUACGGGAGGCAGCAGUGGGGAAUCUUGCGCAAUGGGCGAAAGCCUGACGCAGCGAUGCCGCGUGAAUGAUGAAGGUCUUAGGAUUGUAAAAUUCUUUCACCGGGGACGAUAAUGACGGUACCCGGAGAAGAAGCCCCGGCUAACUUCGUG
This 434-nucleotide ribosomal RNA is filed under the name uncultured bacterium. Its description in RNAcentral is "partial 16S ribosomal RNA". It matches the Rfam family "Bacterial small subunit ribosomal RNA", at positions 29 to 507 of the family's 1533-position model. The record is from RNAcentral.